Molecule: non-coding RNA, 21 nt
Filed under: Caenorhabditis elegans
Lineage: Eukaryota; Metazoa; Nematoda; Chromadorea; Rhabditida; Rhabditidae
Source: RNAcentral
UUCGAUAUGAGAACAAUAAUU